This 1474-nucleotide ribosomal RNA is filed under the name metagenome. Its description in RNAcentral is "bacterial LSU rRNA". It matches the Rfam family "Bacterial large subunit ribosomal RNA", at positions 1475 to 2925 of the family's 2925-position model. The record is from RNAcentral.
GAGAAGGCUAUGUUGGCCGGGCGACGGUUGUCCCGGUUUAAGCGUGUAGGCUGGUUUUCCAGGCAAAUCCGGAAAAUCAAGGCUGAGGCGUGAUGACGAGGCACUACGGUGCUGAAGCAACAAAUGCCCUGCUUCCAGGAAAAGCCUCUAAGCAUCAGGUAACAUCAAAUCGUACCCCAAACCGACACAGGUGGUCAGGUAGAGAAUACCAAGGCGCUUGAGAGAACUCGGGUGAAGGAACUAGGCAAAAUGGUGCCGUAACUUCGGGAGAAGGCACGCUGAUAUGUAGGUGAGGUCCCUCGCGGAUGGAGCUGAAAUCAGUCGAAGAUACCAGCUGGCAGCAACUGUUUAUUAAAAACACAGCACUGUGCAAACACGAAAGUGGACGUAUACGGUGUGACGCCUGCCCGGUGCCGGAAGGUUAAUUGUUGGGGUUAGCGCAAGCGAAGCUCUUGAUCGAAGCCCCGGUAAACGGCGGCCGUAACAAUAACGGUCCUAAGGUAGCGAAAUUCCUUGUCGGGUAAGUUCCGACCUGCACGAAUGGCGUAAUGAUGGCCAGGCUGUCUCCACCCGAGACUCAGUGAAAUUGAACUCGCUGUGAAGAUGCAGUGUACCCGCGGCAAGACGGAAAGACCCCGUGAACCUUUACUAUAGCUUGACACUGAACAUUGAGCCUUGAUGUGUAGGAUAGGUGGGAGGCUUUGAAGUGUGGACGCCAGUCUGCAUGGAGCCGACCUUGAAAUACCACCCUUUAAUGUUUGAUGUUCUAACGUUGACCCGUAAUCCGGGUUGCGGACAGUGUCUGGUGGGUAGUUUGACUGGGGCGGUCUCCUCCUAAAGAGUAACGGAGGAGCACGAAGGUUGGCUAAUCCUGGUCGGACAUCAGGAGGUUAGUGCAAUGGCAUAAGCCAGCUUGACUGCGAGCGUGACGGCGCGAGCAGGUGCGAAAGCAGGUCAUAGUGAUCCGGUGGUUCUGAAUGGAAGGGCCAUCGCUCAACGGAUAAAAGGUACUCCGGGGAUAACAGGCUGAUACCGCCCAAGAGUUCAUAUCGACGGCGGUGUUUGGCACCUCGAUGUCGGCUCAUCACAUCCUGGGGCUGAAGUAGGUCCCAAGGGUAUGGCUGUUCGCCAUUUAAAGUGGUACGCGAGCUGGGUUUAGAACGUCGUGAGACAGUUCGGUCCCUAUCUGCCGUGGGCGCUGGAGAACUGAGGGGGGCUGCUCCUAGUACGAGAGGACCGGAGUGGACGCAUCACUGGUGUUCGGGUUGUCAUGCCAAUGGCACUGCCCGGUAGCUAAAUGCGGAAGAGAUAAGUGCUGAAAGCAUCUAAGCACGAAACUUGCCCCGAGAUGAGUUCUCCCUGACCCUUUAAGGGUCCUGAAGGAACGUUGAAGACGACGACGUUGAUAGGCCGGGUGUGUAAGCGCAGCGAUGCGUUGAGCUAACCGGUACUAAUGAACCGUGAGGCUUAACCC